This 265-nucleotide ribosomal RNA is filed under the name uncultured bacterium. RNAcentral describes it as "partial 16S ribosomal RNA". It matches the Rfam family "Bacterial small subunit ribosomal RNA", at positions 521 to 785 of the family's 1533-position model. The record is from RNAcentral.
UAAUACAGAGGUGGCAAGCGUUGUUCGGAAUUACUGGGCGUAAAGGGCGCGUAGGCGGCCUUAUAAGUCUCGUGUGAAAGCCCUCGGCUUAACUGAGGAUCUGCACGGGAUACUGUAAGGCUUGAGUUCGGGAGAGGAAAGCGGAAUUCCGGGUGUAGCGGUGAAAUGCGUAGAUAUCCGGAGGAACACCAGUGGCGAAGGCGGCUUUCUGGACCGACACUGACGCUGAGGCGCGAAAGCUAGGGGAGCAAACGGGAUUAGAUAC